CCUACGGGAGGCAGCAGUGGGGAAUCUUGCGCAAUGGGCGAAAGCCUGACGCAGCAACGCCGCGUGCGGGAUGAAGGCCUUCGGGCUGUAAACCGCUUUCAGCAGGAACGAAAAUGACGGUACCUGCAGAAGAAGGAGCGGCCAACUACGUGCCAGCAGCCGCGGUGACACGUAGGCUCCAAGCGUUGUCCGGAUUUAUUGGGCGUAAAGAGCUCGUAGGCGGUUUAGUAAGUCGGGUGUUAAAACUCUGGGCUCAACCCGGAGAGGCCAUCCGAUACUGCUGUGACUUGAGUUCAGGAGGGGAGCGGGGAAUUCCUAGUGUAGCGGUGAAAUGCGCAGAUAUUAGGAGGAACACCGGUGGCGAAGGCGCCGCUCUGGACUGAAACUGACGCUGAGGAGCGAAAGCAUGGGUAGCAAACAGGAUUAGAUACCCUGGUAGUCCAUGCCGUAAACGGUGGGCACUAGGUGUGGGUUCCAACUAACGGGAUCCGCGCCGUCGCUAACGCAUUAAGUGCCCCGCCUGGGGAGUACGGUCGCAAGCUAAAACUCAAAUGAAUUGACGG
This 563-nucleotide ribosomal RNA is filed under the name uncultured bacterium. RNAcentral's name for it is "bacterial SSU rRNA". It matches the Rfam family "Bacterial small subunit ribosomal RNA", at positions 338 to 916 of the family's 1533-position model. The record is from RNAcentral.